Molecule: long non-coding RNA, 620 nt
Filed under: Equus caballus (horse)
Lineage: Eukaryota; Metazoa; Chordata; Mammalia; Perissodactyla; Equidae
Description: lncRNA (ENSECAG00000048672.1)
Source: RNAcentral
CACAAUAUUCUUUUGUCUAUUUGACCUAAUACAAUCUUUAAAAGCCUUAGAUGAUUAUGUUUUUUUUUAAAGAUUUUAUUUUUUUCCUUUUUCUCCCCAAAGCCCCCCAAGUACAUAGUUGUAUAUUCGUUGUGGGUCCUUCUAGUUGUGGCAUGUGGGACACCGCCUCAGCGUGGCUUGACGAGCAGUGCCAUGUCCGCGCCCAGGAUUCGAACCAACGAAACACUGGGCCCCCUGCAGCGGAGCGCGCGAACUUAACCACUCGGCCACGGGGCCAGUCCCAGUCCUUAAAAGGAAGAAAUCGGUUUCAGGAUGCAACUCACAGGUCCAUUCCAGAAGGUCAGGAGGUGCAGACGAGUUGAGCUGUUGACUCAGCUGAGAUUCUAGCCUGUGGACCAGAGCACAUUCAGAUGAACCCCAUCUAGGUCCCAUCUGGAGAAAACGUUGGGCUGGAGUGAGAAGAAGGGACUGUCCAUCUGGUUCUGCCCUUUACUGCUCUGCGUCUCAGGCAAGUCAACCUCAGCCUGCCUGUCUCUCCUCAUCUGUAGAAAAGCUAGUGUCACCCACCUUGUCAGUUAGUGGGAGGACAAGACAAGAUAAUUCCUGGGAAGGCACCCUGU